AGUGAACGCUGGCGGUAGGCCUAACACAUGCAAGUCGAACGGCAGCACAGUAAGAGCUUGCUCUUACGGGUGGCGAGUGGCGGACGGGUGAGGAAUACAUCGGAAUCUACUUUUUCGUGGGGGAUAACGUAGGGAAACUUACGCUAAUACCGCAUACGACCUACGGGUGAAAGCAGGGGAUCUUCGGACCUUGCGCGAUUGAAUGAGCCGAUGUCGGAUUAGCUAGUUGGCGGGGUAAAGGCCCACCAAGGCGACGAUCCGUAGCUGGUCUGAGAGGAUGGUCAGCCACACUGGAACUGAGACACGGUCCAGACUCCUACGGGAGGCAGCAGUGGGGAAUAUUGGACAAUGGGCGCAAGCCUGAUCCAGCCAUACCGCGUGGUGAAGAAGGCCUUCGGGUUGUAAAGCCCUUUUGUUGGGAAAGAAAAGCAGCAGGUUAAUACCCCGCUGUUCUGACGGUACCCAAAGAAUAAGCACCGGCUAACUUCGUG
This 491-nucleotide ribosomal RNA is filed under the name uncultured bacterium. Its description in RNAcentral is "partial 16S ribosomal RNA". It matches the Rfam family "Bacterial small subunit ribosomal RNA", at positions 29 to 507 of the family's 1533-position model. The record is from RNAcentral.